Molecule: ribosomal RNA, 449 nt
Filed under: uncultured bacterium
Lineage: Bacteria
Description: SSU rRNA
Rfam family: Bacterial small subunit ribosomal RNA
Source: RNAcentral
AGAGCGAACGCUGGCGGCAGGCUUAACACAUGCAAGUCGAGCGGGCGUAGCAAUACGUCAGCGGCAGACGGGUGAGUAACGCGUGGGAACGUACCUUUUGGUUCGGAACAACACAGGGAAACUUGUGCUAAUACCGGAUAAGCCCUUACGGGGAAAGAUUUAUCGCCGAAAGAUCGGCCCGCGUCUGAUUAGCUAGUUGGUGAGGUAACGGCUCACCAAGGCGACGAUCAGUAGCUGGUCUGAGAGGAUGAUCAGCCACAUUGGGACUGAGACACGGCCCAAACUCCUACGGGAGGCAGCAGUGGGGAAUAUUGGACAAUGGGCGCAAGCCUGAUCCAGCCAUGCCGCGUGAGUGAUGAAGGCCCUAGGGUUGUAAAGCUUCUUUUGUGCGGGAAGAUAAUGACGGUACCGCAAGAAUAAGCCCCGGCUAACUUCGUGCCAGCAGCCGC